UCGAACCCGUUCACCGUUGGAUCGUCGUGAAAUUUGAGUAUCAUGUUCGCAACACAAUUCCGAACAUUCUCACCGUUGGGAAUUUCGAUAUCAUGUCUGAACUGAGAGAAACACCCUUCGCAUUGUAGCCUUUUUCUUUCCCGCAGAAACCCAGAGCUGUCUUGGUAAAACUACGAUCCCGGUUUCGUUAACCGUUGGAUUAUUGUGAAAUUUG
This 214-nucleotide long non-coding RNA is filed under the name Glycine max (soybean). Its description in RNAcentral is "long non-coding RNA (GMAX_LNC001557)". Lineage: Eukaryota; Viridiplantae; Streptophyta; Magnoliopsida; Fabales; Fabaceae. The record is from RNAcentral.